This 497-nucleotide ribosomal RNA is filed under the name uncultured bacterium. RNAcentral describes it as "partial 16S ribosomal RNA". It matches the Rfam family "Bacterial small subunit ribosomal RNA", at positions 28 to 507 of the family's 1533-position model. The record is from RNAcentral.
GAUGAACGCUGGCGGCGUGCCUAAUACAUGCAAGUCGAGCGAACGGACGAGAAGCUUGCUUCUCUGAUGUUAGCGGCGGACGGGUGAGUAACACGUGGAUAACCUACCUAUAAGACUGGGAUAACUUCGGGAAACCGGAGCUAAUACCGGAUAAUAUUUUGAACCGCAUGGUUCAAAAGUGAAAGACGGUCUUGCGGUCACUUAUAGAUGGAUCCGCGCUGCAUUAGCUAGUUGGUAAGGUAACGGCUUACCAAGGCAACGAUGCAUAGCCGACCUGAGAGGGUGAUCGGCCACACUGGAACUGAGACACGGUCCAGACUCCUACGGGAGGCAGCAGUAGGGAAUCUUCCGCAAUGGGCGAAAGCCUGACGGAGCAACGCCGCGUGAGUGAUGAAGGUCUUCGGAUCGUAAAACUCUGUUAUUAGGGAAGAACAUAUGUGUAAGUAACUGUGCACAUCUUGACGGUACCUAAUCAGAAAGCCACGGCUAACUACGUG